GAAAAUGAUGAAUUCUGGGGCGCUGAUU
RNAcentral lists this non-coding RNA (28 nucleotides) under Callithrix jacchus (white-tufted-ear marmoset). RNAcentral also lists the same sequence under 2 other names. Lineage: Eukaryota; Metazoa; Chordata; Mammalia; Primates; Cebidae. The record is from RNAcentral.